RNAcentral lists this ribosomal RNA (591 nucleotides) under Cataetyx messieri. RNAcentral's name for it is "partial 16S ribosomal RNA". It matches the Rfam family "Bacterial large subunit ribosomal RNA", at positions 1808 to 2606 of the family's 2925-position model. Lineage: Eukaryota; Metazoa; Chordata; Actinopteri; Ophidiiformes; Bythitidae. The record is from RNAcentral.
CAAAAACAUCGCCUCUUGCAAAACUAAAGAAUAAGAGGUCCCGCCUGCCCUGUGACAAUACGUUUAACGGCCGCGGUAUUUUGACCGUGCGAAGGUAGCGCAAUCACUUGUCUCUUAAAUGGAGACCUGUAUGAAUGGCAUAACGAGGGCUUAACUGUCUCCUUUUUCCGGUCAAUGAAAUUGAUCUUCCCGUGCAGAAGCGGGAAUUAAUACAUAAGACGAGAAGACCCUAUGGAGCUUUAGAUGCUAAGACAGAUCAUGUUAAAAACCCCUUACAAAGGAACAAACUAAAUGACCCCCGUCCUAAUGUCUUUGGUUGGGGCGACCGCGGGGUAACAUAAAACCCCCAUGUGGAGCGGGGGUAUUUCCCCCAAAACCAAGGGCAACAGCCCUAAGCAACAGAACAUCUGACCAUCAAGAUCCGGCAGAGCCGAUCAACGAACCGAGUUACCCUAGGGAUAACAGCGCAAUCCCCUUCUAGAGCCCAUAUCGACAAGGGGGUUUACGACCUCGAUGUUGGAUCAGGACAUCCUAAUGGUGCAGCCGCUAUUAAGGGUUCGUUUGUUCAACGAUUAAAGUCCUACGUGAUCU